This 517-nucleotide ribosomal RNA is filed under the name uncultured bacterium. RNAcentral's name for it is "bacterial SSU rRNA". It matches the Rfam family "Bacterial small subunit ribosomal RNA", at positions 8 to 521 of the family's 1533-position model. The record is from RNAcentral.
AGAGUUUGAUCCUGGCUCAAAUUGAACGCUGGCGGCAUGCUUUACACAUGCAAGUCGAACGGCAGCACGGGGGCAACCCUGGUGGCGAGUGGCGAACGGGUGAGUAAUACAUCGGAACGUAUCCUUGAGUGGGGGAUAACGCAGCGAAAGUUGUGCUAAUACCGCAUGAGCUCUGAGGAGGAAAGUGGGGGACCGUAAGGCCUCACGCUGAAGGGGCGGCCGAUGUCCGAUUAGCUAAUUGGUGAGGUAAAGGCUCACCAAGGCUUCGAUCGGUAGCUGGUCUGAGAGGAUGAUCAGCCACACUGGGACUGAGACACGGCCCAGACUCCUACGGGAGGCAGCAGUGGGGAAUUUUGGACAAUGGGGGCAACCCUGAUCCAGCCAUGCCGCGUGAGUGAAGAAGGCCUUCGGGUUGUAAAGCUCCUUCGUGAGGGAAGAAACGGCCAUAGUGAAUAGCUGUGGUUACUGACGGUACCUCAAGAAGAAGCACCGGCUAACUACGUGCCAGCGCCGCGGU